GCCCGCCUAGCUCAAUCGGAUAGAGCGUCAGACUUUUACGAAGGCGGGUCGAUUCCUACAUCUAGAACAUCUGAAGGCUGCGAGUUCGACCCUCGCGGUGGGCU
Mycena galopus ATCC 62051 is the source of this 104-nucleotide non-coding RNA. Lineage: Eukaryota; Fungi; Basidiomycota; Agaricomycetes; Agaricales; Mycenaceae. The record is from the annotation of a GenBank genome assembly.